This 253-nucleotide ribosomal RNA is filed under the name uncultured bacterium. RNAcentral describes it as "partial 16S ribosomal RNA". It matches the Rfam family "Bacterial small subunit ribosomal RNA", at positions 524 to 776 of the family's 1533-position model. The record is from RNAcentral.
UACGUAGGGGGCAAGCGUUGUCCGGAAUCAUUGGGCGUAAAGAGCGUGUAGGCGGCCAGAUAAGUCCGCUGUGAAAUCUCGAGGCUCAACUUCGAGCUGUCGGUGGAAACUGUCUGGCUAGAGUCCGGAAGAGGAGAAUGGAAUUCCUGGUGUAGCGGUGAAAUGCGCAGAUAUCAGGAAGAACACCCGUGGCGAAGGCGGUUCUCUGGGACGGUACUGACGCUGAGACGCGAAAGCGUGGGUAGCAAACAGG